AUCCUGCAAGUUGCAAAGUUCAUGUGUUGAAAUAGAACCUCUCAAUAUACCCCAGUUGUUUUAUCUAUCUACAGGUACGCAAGCUAAGAUUUGACAUUUUUGUAUGCAUGCAUGUAAGAUCAAAUUUAUUGAGCCUUUACAAAACCUCAAGGGUACUUGUACGCAAAGAACUCAAUGGGAAUUAAGUUUUCACAUAAAUAUUUGCGUAAUUUACGCAGAUUCGCAGCUUAUCUGUA
Haliotis rubra (blacklip abalone) is the source of this 236-nucleotide long non-coding RNA. RefSeq lists it as uncharacterized. The transcript has 3 exons. The record is from RefSeq and is a predicted model, not a curated record. Lineage: Eukaryota; Metazoa; Mollusca; Gastropoda; Lepetellida; Haliotidae.